Molecule: ribosomal RNA, 465 nt
Filed under: Vreelandella stevensii
Lineage: Bacteria; Pseudomonadati; Pseudomonadota; Gammaproteobacteria; Oceanospirillales; Halomonadaceae
Description: partial 16S ribosomal RNA
Rfam family: Bacterial small subunit ribosomal RNA
Source: RNAcentral
CCUACGGGUGGCAGCAGUGGGGAAUAUUGGACAAUGGGGGGAACCCUGAUCCAGCCAUGCCGCGUGUGUGAAGAAGGCCCUCGGGUUGUAAAGCACUUUCAGUGAGGAAGAACGCCUGGUGGUUAAUACCCAUCAGGAAAGACAUCACUCACAGAAGAAGCACCGGCUAACUCCGUGCCAGCAGCCGCGGUAAUACGGAGGGUGCGAGCGUUAAUCGGAAUUACUGGGCGUAAAGCGCGCGUAGGUGGCUUGAUAAGCCGGUUGUGAAAGCCCCGGGCUCAACCUGGGAACGGCAUCCGGAACUGUCAAGCUAGAGUGCAGGAGAGGAAGGUAGAAUUCCCGGUGUAGCGGUGAAAUGCGUAGAGAUCGGGAGGAAUACCAGUGGCGAAGGCGGCCUUCUGGACCGACACUGACACUGAGGUGCGAAAGCGUGGGUAGCAAACAGGAUUAGAUACCCUUGUAGUC